This 253-nucleotide ribosomal RNA is filed under the name uncultured bacterium. RNAcentral's name for it is "partial 16S ribosomal RNA". It matches the Rfam family "Bacterial small subunit ribosomal RNA", at positions 524 to 776 of the family's 1533-position model. The record is from RNAcentral.
AACGUAGGAGACAAACGUUAUCCGGAGUUACUGGGCGUAAAGGGCGUGCAGGCGGUUUCUUAAGUUCGUCGUGAAAUCGCCCGGCUUAACCGGGCGGGGUCGAUGGAUACUGGGAGACUUGAGGGCGGUAGAGGCGUGUGGAAUUCCGGGUGUAGUGGUGAAAUGCGUAGAUAUCCGGAGGAACACCAGUGGCGAAGGCGACACGCUGGGCCGUACCUGACGCUAAGACGCGACAGCAUGGGGAGCGAACGGG